GAUGAACGCUAGCGGGAGGCCUAAUACAUGCAAGUCGAGCGGUAGAGCCCUUCGGGGCUUGAGAGCGGCGCACGGGUGAGUAACGCGUACAUGACCUACCUUUAAGAACGGAAUAGCCCUGGGAAACUGGGAUUAAUACCGUAUGUGAUAAUAGAUAUAAGGAUUUAUUAUUAAAGCUUCGGCGCUUAGAGAUGGAUGUGCGUCUGAUUAGCUAGUUGGUAAGGUAACGGCUUACCAAGGCUACGAUCAGUAGGGGGCGUGAGAGCGUGACCCCCCACACGGGUACUGAGACACGGACCCGACUCCUACGGGAGGCAGCAGUAAGGAAUAUUGGUCAAUGGACGCAAGUCUGAACCAGCCAUCCCGCGUGCAGGAUUAAGGUCCUAUGGAUUGUAAACUGCUUUUAGUAGGGAAUAAAAUUUUCCAUUUAUGGGAAAC
This 438-nucleotide ribosomal RNA is filed under the name uncultured Haliscomenobacter sp. RNAcentral's name for it is "bacterial SSU rRNA". It matches the Rfam family "Bacterial small subunit ribosomal RNA", at positions 28 to 470 of the family's 1533-position model. The record is from RNAcentral. Lineage: Bacteria; Pseudomonadati; Bacteroidota; Saprospiria; Saprospirales; Haliscomenobacteraceae.